Oxyura jamaicensis (ruddy duck) is the source of this 2462-nucleotide long non-coding RNA. RefSeq lists it as uncharacterized. The transcript is spliced from 3 exons. The record is from RefSeq and is a predicted model, not a curated record. NCBI's taxonomy places the organism in Eukaryota, Metazoa, Chordata, Aves, Anseriformes, Anatidae.
AAUAAUCAUAAGUAGAUGAAAAAUAAAUAAAUAAAAUUAACCUCUUACUCUCUUGUUCCCUCUAGAAGGUUGCCUGUUAAUUGUAACUGCAAUAUCCUUUCUGCAGACUAUACAGUGCAAAGAGAAACAUUUUACUUCUCCAAAUAAGUUUAUGUUUCAUGGAAACCUAGAGAGAUUCCUGUAAUUUUCCAACUAUUACAGCCACCAAACAUCUUACUCUUGAAGAUUAUUAUUAGAUCCAGCAGUUUUCUCUUUCAUCUGUACGCUCCUAACAGAUGAGCUGGUUUUGUACCCCCUCAUAAACUUUCAAAUUAAACUCCUACAUGCUCUCCUGCUUCAUAAUUUGGUGCUUUGGGACACUACCAACAUUAGCUCAGUUAAGAACAAAACCAUUAUUCACAUGAGGUAGAACUGCCUCAUCUUCAAACAGUAAACUCCAACUUACCAAACAAAUCUGCAUUGCACUCAAUAUUUAGCUUAAAUAGUCAGUACCACGCAAUACAAUUUCAAGCACAUUCAAUUUAAUGGAAGAAAUGAUUUCCAGAAAGAAAAAGUGAAAUUUCCAUAAGAAGUCUGGGGUAAUCUUGUUGUUAAUGAAAAUGUUUUUGUUGGUUCUUUCAUAGUCAAACUCAUCACCAACUGCCCCUUGCAUCACUGACAAGUGAACAUGGAUAACUAUGCUCCAAAGUAGUAUACAAUUGCCACUUUAUGCAGUAUAAAUAAUUGUUUAGGCAGAAAAAAUAGUAAACUGCUUGUUCCAUAGACUUUAAACUACUCAUCUCUCUAUGUUGAAAAAAGUGAUAGCCUUGUAGCUUCCCGCUGGAAUGCAUGGCCCAAUAAAGCCAUGUAAGGAUAAGGAGGCAAAUUAAUCCAUACCUCCUAAAAGCAAUUAGGGUACCUAUGGCUAAUAAUUGCCAGGAUGCUUCUAGUGAUGCUCCAGUGACACUCAGCAGAUAGCAGAUUCAGGACUAACAAGUGCUACAUCUUUGAAAAAUACAGUGCAUGAUCCAGGCCCAAAAUUACCAGCCAGCUUAGGGGAAAAUAUGGCAAUAUUGGUGUCCUUAUCUACAGGGCAACAAGAAUGUGCAGGGGGCAGUCCAAACCUUGCUGUUUCCCUAACCCCACAUACUUGUUAACUGUAGUCAAUAAUUGGCCCAAAAUAUUUAGGUGUAUUUUCUAUCUAACUCUUUCACGAUUAUAGUAAUCUUCAUAGAGCAGGCUACAAUUUCCAAAUGUAUACAGGCAAUAACUGUCAACACUGCAGCAGCUGCUGCCCUUCCAGAGGGAUUCAUGUGCUUAGUGGAGGGAAAAAAAUAUAAGAAUGAAGGUUCAGUGCUUCCCUUUCUUCGUCUCUUUCUCAAAGAUAAGAGACGUGAACUGAACAGGCCAGCAUGGGUCUGCUAAUUCAGAGACAGGACUAAACUUGAUCUCCUGGUGGUAAGAAUGAGAGAUUAAGUUAAGGAGCCAUAUAGCUAGGCCGGUCACUAUGUGAAUGAGACCUGACCUCAAUAAAGCCUCCAUUUACUCAAUAAAAGUCCUAGCAAAGGUUGUAGGCACUCCUUUAUUAUAACCUUUUCCUUUCAGGCUAAACCUGUGAUCCACAAAUCUGAAUCCCCAAGCUCAGGUCCUGUUUGAGAAUUCUUGGAGAAGAAAUCUCCCCUUUCUGAUGGAUUGACAAACCUCUCCUGACUCGUACCAAGAGCAGUAUUCAGACAAGCCCAGGUUCACAAAUAUGGGAUUGCUCAAAUGAAAAUUGGGAAACUCUGGAAACUUGAACUGCCCAUUAAGGAGAUGUCCCAGUGGAGGGAGCCAAGUGUAGCAAGACAGACGUUCACGUAGGUUCAUGCAGACUGCAAGGAUGGGAAAUCCAGUCAUUAAGGCACAAGUGAACAAAACAAAUUAGGAUGGAGACAGAAGUCUGUGUUCCUGUGGGAUAAUCUUUCAUUUCGUAAAUGAUUAUUUACAUUUAAAUGCAAAUAUUUCUGACCUCUGGUUUGUUCAGAUAGCCAUGGUCAGGGUGCAACAACAGAAUCAUUUUGUUCUGAUACUUGCUCUGAUGUUUAUAAAAUAAAAUCACCAUGGCUGUAUUUCCUUUCAUUUAUGAAGUACUUUACUGAGGCAGAUUUAUUCUGGGGUAAAAGACAGGCAGAUGGCAGGGAUAUACAGGUCAUGUGCUCUUCAACGCUUAUAAAGAAACCCCUCCAUGCCCAUGCAUUUUCCAUCUCCCGCCGAUUAAGGCUGAGAAUAACUAUAAAAGUGCUCAUUAUAAACUGAAAUAUCUGAUUCUAAAGAUAAACAUAUUGCCUAAACUAAUUAUUAUGUUCAGUUUUAUAUACCCCCUGUGAAAAAUAAAUGUCCUGAUUAAACAAAAUGAAGCAUCUGAUUGUCCAAAUAUGACAGUGUCGCGAUCUGUUGUUUUUUCUAUUAUUGUUCAUAUGCCCGCGAUCCUGAUUCCUGUAAUU